Populus trichocarpa (black cottonwood) is the source of this 601-nucleotide RNA transcript. RefSeq lists it as uncharacterized. The transcript is spliced from 3 exons. The record is from RefSeq and is a predicted model, not a curated record. NCBI's taxonomy places the organism in Eukaryota, Viridiplantae, Streptophyta, Magnoliopsida, Malpighiales, Salicaceae.
GAAAGUGAAGAUUGCAGAUCUUUGAAAAGUCUUAUCUUUGCUAGACUCGAAAUGGCUGCUGGGAAGUAUCAAGAAUCCUACUCUUCACGGUUUUCUAAUUGUAAAUAUCAAGUGUUCUUGAGUUUUAGAGGUGAAGACACCCGCAAGAACUUUACCGAUCACCUCUACACAGCCCUGGUUCAAGCAGGGAUUCACACAUUUAGAGACGAUGAUGAAAUUGGGAGAGGAGAAAAUAUCAAGUCAGAGCUCCAACAGGCAAUACAACAAUAAAAAAAUAUCGAUAAUCGUGUUCUCCAAAGCGUAUGAUUCGUCGCGGUGGUGCCUGAAUGAACUUGUAAUGAUCAUGGAACGUAAGAGCAAUACUGACUGCAUAAUUUUGCCGGUCUUCUAUGACGUGGAUCCGUCUGAAGUCAGAAAUCAAACAGGGAGCUUUGCUGCAGCAUUUAUGGAUCAUGAAAAGCGCUUCAAGAAGGAGAUGGAGCAAGUGAAUGGGUGGAGGAUUGCUUUGUAGGAAGUUGCAGAUUUAGGAGGAAUGGUUUUAGGAGAUGGGUAAGUUGUAUUUCUUGAUGAAACUACACAUAACAUAAUAAUAGAAUGCUGG